Numida meleagris (helmeted guineafowl) is the source of this 1438-nucleotide long non-coding RNA. RefSeq lists it as uncharacterized. Lineage: Eukaryota; Metazoa; Chordata; Aves; Galliformes; Numididae. The record is from RefSeq and is a predicted model, not a curated record. The transcript has 2 exons.
CGGGGCGCCUCAGGUGGCUCCGGGCGCCGCUUGGGGCCGCGCUGACACCGCCGCGCCUCGGGGAAAGCGCUCCGAGUGGGCCGCGGCGCCGUCUGCGAAGGUGAACGCGGGACCCAGAGCCCCCGCACACCCUCUGGGACAGCGCGUCCGUCCUCCAGGGAUCUCACACACUGUGCUGCUUUACUUCGCGCUCGGGAAAUUUCCAUCACGGUGGAUCCAAACGCAGAUGGCUGAGGGAAGCGCGGGCCAAGCGCAGUGCUGGAAGGACAGGAGAGCCCCGAGGUAUGGCCACGACACGUCUGCGUGGGGCACAGGGAGGGGUGGUGGCAAACUACAUGUCUUCUGCUGUACCCAGUACCUUGUGUUCAGGGUGAGCUGCCAUAAAAGUCAAACAGAAUCUUAUGUUUUAGUUACAGAGAUGUCAAGCCUGCAGACAGCCGCCUGAUAGGACAAAAGGUAAUGGCCUUCAAUUGUGCCAGGGAAGGUUCAGGUUGGAUAUUAGGAACAACUUCUCCUCAGAAAGCACAGUCAGGCUGAAAAAGACCUCUGAGAUCAUCCCAUCCAACCCCAACCCAUCACCCCAUGCCCACUGACCACAUCCCUCAGUGCUACAUCUUCACGGUUCUUGAACACCUCCAGGACAGUGACCUCACCACCUCCCUGGGCAGCCUGUGCCAGUGCUCUUUCCAAGAAUAAAUACUCCUAAUAUCCAACCGGAACCUCCCCUGGCACAACUUAGCGCCAUUAACUCUUGCCGUGAGUGCUCUGAGUGCUUCUCUUCCGAGCAUGCCACCCUGCAAAGAGCUGGCGCAGCUGCAGGCACUGCAGGUCUGCUCUAUCCCCCUUCAGGCCUGUUCUCUUCCCCUUGUCAAUCAAACAAAGUUGGAACUAGGUGAUCUCUGAUGUCCCUUCCAACCCGAGCCAUUCUGUGGUUCUGCACAGUUGUGUCACUAGAUGGCCUUCCAGACUGAACACAGAGCGCAAUUGCACUCCUCAUGUCUGGGAAUAACCUCUUUCAAGGAAGGCCCUGCUUUGUGCACAGGGCAGGCAGAAAGAAAAAAGUAUUUGAGUGAUAGGAGGAGGAGAGACAUGCGAAUGCCCUACAAAGUGUCAUAUAAUCUAAAUUAAGAAGGAAAAAAAGGUAGCCAAUCUCACAUCUAUUUAAAGCUAACCAUUUUACUGAGGAAACAGUUGACACGAGCAUGUAGGAUACACAAAAAGAUCCUGUAUGAACCAUCAUCUUUAAUAUCUAAUCUGCAAGACAGCAAAAGCUGUCAGCUCUGCGAGGUUGCAGUGGCUGAAGGCAUUCCAGUAUUGCACAGGAAUGAAUGGUCCAAAAGUCAUUUGUUUUACGCUGAGACAAUUCCUUUGAACCUGGCUCAAAAUGAAUGGUGUACUGUGGUAUGAUCAACAAAUAGACUUGCUGAUCUUCCUGAAA